GUUCGUUGUGGUUUAAUGAGGGAGCAGCGACUUAAAAUCCCUUGGGGGCAACCCCGUGCAGGUUCGAGUCCUGUUCCGAGCA
Molecule: transfer RNA, 82 nt
Filed under: Chlamydiota bacterium
Lineage: Bacteria; Pseudomonadati; Chlamydiota
Description: Chlamydiae bacterium tRNA-Leu
Source: RNAcentral